AAGUGGGCAAUCAAAUUUGUUCUGUUGAAAUGUUCAUCUAUAGAUCCUCCUUGAGAAAUUUUAGGGAAGCAUUGUUUGCAAAAUGCAUUUCUAAUGUUGUUUUGCCAAUAUUAAACAUUUCACAUAGCAGCCAUUUUUCUAACUGUUUAGUUUGCAGGAUGUGCAAAGCAAUAUGGGUCAACAUUUUAAAUGGAAUUAUCGGUGAUACAUUUUGGUUUAUUUUUAGGGCUGCAACAAUUCAUCGAGUAACUUGAAUAACUCGAUCACAAAAAAUCCUCGAUGCAAAUUCUUUGCUUCGAUGCUUCGUGUAAUCCGCACAACUAUGUACCGCUUAGUGAUCACUGUGUUUCACUCGGAGGAUUAUUACUGUCGCAUAGUGUGAUUACGCUGCAUUACGUGUAGCAGGUUUGAUUUGAUGGCGCAAUGGAGGAAGACAGGGAAACUAGCGAGGAAAGUCAGAGAAAAAGACGAAAAAUGUCAAGUUUUGGACCAUUUCAAACAAAAGAAAAGCGAAAAUACUGUACAGUGUGUCCAUUGUAAAACCGAAUUAGCUUACCACAAUAGCACAACGUCAAUGAUUCAACAUCUCAACAGAAAGCACCCAGUCUAUGCAUCCAGUCCACAGAGCGGAACCAAUACAAGGAUAAACGGGUGUGUGUGACAACAUUAGCGGGGUCAAUAUUGUUGAAGCCGCCACUCUCAACAUCUGGACCAGACUGUCAUGCUUUGGCCAUCAUCUACGCAUUGCUAUUGAGAGGAGUGUGAAGGACCCCAGGAUUGACAAAGCAGUGGGAGUUGUGGCUUCCUUUGCUCACAGCUGGAAGUGGCAGCGGGCACUACAGGAUGCUCAAGUGGAAAUGGGCUAAUUUCAGAACAAACUGGUCACAGACUCUCCCAUUCGAUGGGGAUCAAGACAAAAGAUGAUCCAGUGGUCGCUGGAAAAAGAAAAGGCCAUCACACAGGUCUUCGCUGCUGACAUAUCAAGCAGACACCUGGUGCCAACAUGGCAAAAUGUAGAGGUUCUUGAUUCUGAGAAAGGUUCUAGGUCCUCUCCUUGAAUUCACUGAUGUGUUCUCUGAAGACUAUGUCACCAUCCCCUGCGUGAAGCCUGUUCUUCAGUUAUUCGGUAAGAACAUUCUACAGGCAAAAGAGAAUGACACAGACCGCACAAAGACAAUAAAGAAGUCAGUACUGAACUACAGAAGAGCAAUUAUGUGACAGACAACGUGAUUGAGGAACUGAUCAGUCUGGCAAUCUGUCCAAUCCAUGCUUCCGCACUGAAUACAUGAGCGAAAGUGAGAGCAAAGCCAUCCAAGCCAGAGCAGUUUGUGAAGUGGAAUCCCUUCUAUUAGAAUCACACAGCUGCAGAAUCAGAAUUUUAUUUUUACACAAGAAAUCAGAAGAAAUGCAACAGUUCCAGCACUGAUAUUCUACCUUAUUCAAUGGUAAUCCAAAAAAAAAAGAUGCAAGGCAACUACAUUUUGACAGCAUUUUAUUUUUAUAAACAGUGAGUGUUUACAUUUUUACUGAAGGUUAUGUUUACAUUCGUACUUAAAAUUUGAGGUCAGUUUUAUUAGGCGACAAUAUGGUGGAGGCUUCUGAAGAGUUACAUGGUUGAGUUACUUUAGUUAUAGUAUUAUUAAACUACCUAGGCUAUGUUUCUGCUUACCAUUGAGUUAUGCUCCGUCACGGUAUAUAAUGCUGGGUCACAAUUAUUGUACUACAAUGCUGCUGCUGACACCGUGUGGAAACAUUCACACAUUGAAUUAGGUAGUCUGUCAUCAAUGACAGUAGCUUACUUAAACGGAUGGAAAAUCCCCUUCAUUUUGUUUGCAAUAAUAAAUGUUGCUGCCUGCAAGUUACAUUCACCGAUGAAACGUUCAGUAUUUUUUUUCUAUAUCAUCAUAAAUAUCAUUAAUCACAACUUUCUCGAAAUAUCAUGAUAUUUUGAAGCUGUAUCACCCACCCCUAGUGGAAAGCAUCAGAAGAGUAAGUCAGAGUUGCGAGAUGCCAUUCAAAGUGCUGUCCAAGCUGUAACUCCUGAAACCCUCAACACUCUUACAAGUUCAAUGGAUGAAAAAUUUAGAACUGAGGAAAAAAAGAUGGUUAUAUUAACAUGUAAAACUGAUUGUUUCUUGUUCUUGAGUAAUGGAAAAACCUCUUAAAUGGUAUUUUCAUUUAUGAAACAUAUGGUUUCAAAAUCUUACCCAUUCAGAAAAUAAAGCAUACCCUGCAGAAUCUCA
Molecule: long non-coding RNA, 2243 nt
Organism: Paramormyrops kingsleyae
Lineage: Eukaryota; Metazoa; Chordata; Actinopteri; Osteoglossiformes; Mormyridae
Source: RefSeq, a predicted model, not a curated record